RNAcentral lists this ribosomal RNA (460 nucleotides) under uncultured bacterium. RNAcentral describes it as "partial 16S ribosomal RNA". It matches the Rfam family "Bacterial small subunit ribosomal RNA", at positions 338 to 795 of the family's 1533-position model. The record is from RNAcentral.
CCUACGGGAGUCAGCAGUGAGGAAUAUUGGUCAAUGGCCGGAAGGCUGAACCAGCCAUGCCGCGUGAAGGUCAGUGCCCUAUGGGCGUUAAACUUCUUUUGUGCGGGAGCAAUAAUGGUCACGUGUGGCCAGACGAGAGUACCGUACGAAUAAGCAUCGGCUAACUCCGUGCCAGCAGCCGCGGUAAUACGGGGGAUGCAAGCGUUAUCCGGAUUUAUUGGGUUUAAAGGGUGCGUAGGCUGUGAGGUAAGUCAGCGGUGAAAUGCCGCCGCUCAACGGGGUGAAGUGCCAUUGAUACUGCCUGGCUGGAAUGCGGAUGCGGUGGGAGGAAUGUGUGGUGGAGCGGUGAAAUGCAUAGAUAUCACACAGAACACCGAUUGCGAAGGCAUCUCACGAAUCCGCGAUUGACGCUGAUGCACGAAAGCGUGGGUAUCAAACAGGAUUAGAUACCCGUGUAGUC